UUAAAGAAUUUCCAGUUUUAACGUGGGUGAGUUCACGUGUUGUUAGUUUGUGAUUGAACCAUUUCAUUUUGGUACUGGAAAAUAUGUCAAAUAUGGGGGCAGAAGCGCCAAAUACAAAAAUAGGUGACAAGCCGGUCGAGGCAGACGAUGCGAAUAAAAAUACUCCCGGUCCUCUUGUUUUAAAUAAAACGCCAAAGCGCAAAGCCUAUGAGUUAGAAGAGCACUCAGAUGAGGUUGUGGAUUUGAGUAUGAAGAAAGAUGGUUUGAGGAAGACAUUUCCAAAGGCGAAACGCUCGUAAUGUCACAGGCCGUGCAAUAAAUUUU
This is a long non-coding RNA of Zophobas morio, 324 nucleotides long. RefSeq lists it as uncharacterized. NCBI's taxonomy places the organism in Eukaryota, Metazoa, Arthropoda, Insecta, Coleoptera, Tenebrionidae. The record is from RefSeq and is a predicted model, not a curated record. The transcript is spliced from 3 exons.